Molecule: ribosomal RNA, 252 nt
Filed under: uncultured bacterium
Lineage: Bacteria
Description: partial 16S rRNA
Rfam family: Bacterial small subunit ribosomal RNA
Source: RNAcentral
GUGUCAGCCGCCGCGGUAAUACGUAGGUGGCGAGCGUUGUCCGGAAUUAUUGGGCGUAAAGCGCGCGCAGGCGGGAAAGUAAGUCUACUCUAAAAGUGCGGGGCUCAACCCCGUGAUGGGGUGGAAACUGCUUUUCUUGAGUGCCGGAGAGGAAAGCGGAAUUUCCAGUGUAGCGGGGAAAUGCGUAGAUAUUGGGAGGAACACCAGUGGCGAAGGCGGCUUUCUGGACGGGGUCUGACGCUGAGGGGCGAA